GACGAACGCUGGCGGCGUGCCUAAUACAUGCAAGUAGAACGCUGAAGGAGGAGCUUGCUCUUCUGGAUGAGUUGCGAACGGGUGAGUAACGCGUAGGUAACCUGCCUGGUAGCGGGGGAUAACUAUUGGAAACGAUAGCUAAUACCGCAUAAGAGUAGAUGUUGCAUGACAUUUGCUUAAAAGGUGCAAUUGCAUCACUACCAGAUGGACCUGCGUUGUAUUAGCUAGUUGGGGGGGUAACGGCUCACCAAGGCGACGAUACAUAGCCGACCUGAGAGGGGGAUCGGCCACACCGGGGCUGGGAAACGGCCCAGAAUCCUACUGGAGGCAGCAGUAGGGAAUUUUCGGCAAUGGACGGAAGUCUGACCGAGCAACGCCGGGUGAGUGAAGAAGGUUUUCGGAUCGUAAAGCUCUGUUGUAAGAGAAGGACGAGUGGGAGAGUGGAAAGUUCACACUGUGACGGUAUCUUACCAGAAAGGGACGGCUAACUACGUG
Molecule: ribosomal RNA, 495 nt
Filed under: uncultured bacterium
Lineage: Bacteria
Description: partial 16S ribosomal RNA
Rfam family: Bacterial small subunit ribosomal RNA
Source: RNAcentral